UCAGGAUGAACGCUAGCGGCAGGCUAACACAUGCAAGUCGAGGGGCGAGCGGGAUAGCAAUAUCCGCCGGCGACCGGCGAAGGGUGCGUAACGCGUGAGCAACCUGCCCGUAUCCGGGGCAUAAGCGGUGGAAACGCCGUCUAAUUUCCCAUAACAACAGAGGCUGCAUGACCUUUGUUUGAAAGAUCCGUCGGAUACGGAUGGGCUCGCGAGACAUUAGCUAGUCGGCGUGGUAACGGCACACCGAGGCGACGAUGUCUAGGGGUUCUGAGAGGAAGGUCCCCCACACUGGAACUGAGACACGGUCCAGACUCCUACGGGAGGCAGCAGUGAGGAAUAUUGGUCAAUGGGCGCAAGCCUGAACCAGCCAUGCCGCGUGAAGGAAUGAGGCCCUUAAUGGGUCGUAAACUUCUUUUGUGGUGGAGCAAUAAGGCGUACGUGUACGCUGAUGAGAGUACAUCACGAAUAAGCAUCGGCUAACUCCGUGCCAGCAGCAGC
This 498-nucleotide ribosomal RNA is filed under the name uncultured bacterium. RNAcentral's name for it is "bacterial SSU rRNA". It matches the Rfam family "Bacterial small subunit ribosomal RNA", at positions 24 to 518 of the family's 1533-position model. The record is from RNAcentral.